This 1448-nucleotide ribosomal RNA is filed under the name uncultured organism. Its description in RNAcentral is "16S ribosomal RNA". It matches the Rfam family "Bacterial small subunit ribosomal RNA". The record is from RNAcentral.
UGAACGCUAGCUACAGGCUUAACACAUGCAAGUCGAGGGACAUCAGGAAGAAAGCUUGCUUUCUUUGCUGGCGACCGGCGCACGGGUGAGUAACACGUAUCCAACCUGCCCUUUACUCGGGGAUAGCCUUUCGAAAGAAAGAUUAAUACCCGAUGGCAUAAUGAUUCCGCAUGGUUUCAUUAUUAAAGGAUUCCGGUAAAGGAUGGGGAUGCGUUCCAUUAGGUUGUUGGUGAGGUAACGGCUCACCAAGCCUUCGAUGGAUAGGGGUUCUGAGAGGAAGGUCCCCCACAUUGGAACUGAGACACGGUCCAAACUCCUACGGGAGGCAGCAGUGAGGAAUAUUGGUCAAUGGGCGCUAGCCUGAACCAGCCAAGUAGCGUGAAGGAUGAAGGCUCUAUGGGUCGUAAACUUCUUUUAUAUAAGAAUAAAGUGCAGUAUGUAUACUGUUUUGUAUGUAUUAUAUGAAUAAGGAUCGGCUAACUCCGUGCCAGCAGCCGCGGUAAUACGGAGGAUCCGAGCGUUAUCCGGAUUUAUUGGGUUUAAAGGGAGCGUAGGUGGACUGGUAAGUCAGUUGUGAAAGUUUGCGGCUCAACCGUAAAAUUGCAGUUGAUACUGUCAGUCUUGAGUACAGUAGAGGUGGGCGGAAUUCGUGGUGUAGCGGUGAAAUGCUUAGAUAUCACGAAGAACUCCGAUUGCGAAGGCAGCUCACUGGACUGCAACUGACACUGAUGCUCGAAAGUGUGGGUAUCAAACAGGAUUAGAUACCCUGGUAGUCCACACAGUAAACGAUGAAUACUCGCUGUUUGCGAUAUACAGUAAGCGGCCAAGCGAAAGCAUUAAGUAUUCCACCUGGGGAGUACGCCGGCAACGGUGAAACUCAAAGGAAUUGACGGGGGCCCGCACAAGCGGAGGAACAUGUGGUUUAAUUCGAUGAUACGCGAGGAACCUUACCCGGGCUUAAAUUGCAGUGGAAUGAUGUGGAAACAUGUCAGUGAGCAAUCACCGCUGUGAAGGUGCUGCAUGGUUGUCGUCAGCUCGUGCCGUGAGGUGUCGGCUUAAGUGCCAUAACGAGCGCAACCCUUAUCUUUAGUUACUAACAGGUCAUGCUGAGGACUCUGGAGAGACUGCCGUCGUAAGAUGUGAGGAAGGUGGGGAUGACGUCAAAUCAGCACGGCCCUUACGUCCGGGGCUACACACGUGUUACAAGGGGGGGUACAGAAGGCAGCUAGCGGGUGACCGUAUGCUAAUCCCAAAAUCCUCUCUCAGUUCGGAUCGAAGUCUGCAACCCGACUUCGUGAAGCUGGAUUCGCUAGUAAUCGCGCAUCAGCCACGGCGCGGUGAAUACGUUCCCGGGCCUUGUACACACCGCCCGUCAAGCCAUGGGAGCCGGGGGUACCUGAAGUACGUAACCGCAAGGAUCGUCCUAGGGUAAAACUGGUGACUGGGGC